UGAGGAAUAUUGGGCAAUGCCCGAAAGGGUGACCCAGCAACGCCGCGUGGAGGAUGAAGGUCGUAAGAUUGUAAACUCCUGUUAGAGGGGAAGAAUAACUAAGUUUGGAGCUUAGUAUGACUGUACCCUCAGAGAAAGCCCCGGCUAACUACGUGCCAGCAGCCGCGGUAAUACGUAGGGGGCAAGCGUUGUCCGGAUUUACUGGGUGUAAAGGGCGCGCAGGCGGAAUGGAAAGUCAGUGGUGAAAUCCUACAGCUUAACUGUAGAACUGCCUUUGAUACUUUCAUUCUUGAGUUCGGGAGAGAGAGACGGAAUUCCAGGUGUAGUGGUGAAAUACGUAGAUAUCUGGAAGAACACCAGUUGCGAAGGCGGUCUCUUGGUCCGAUACUGACGCUGAGGCGC
RNAcentral lists this ribosomal RNA (402 nucleotides) under uncultured bacterium. Its description in RNAcentral is "bacterial SSU rRNA". It matches the Rfam family "Bacterial small subunit ribosomal RNA", at positions 355 to 754 of the family's 1533-position model. The record is from RNAcentral.